UACACUCCUGCGGGAGGCAGCAGUGGGGAAUUUUGGACAAUGGGCGAAAGCCUGAUCCAGCCAUGCCGCGUGCAGGAUGAAGGCCUUCGGGUUGUAAACUGCUUUUGUACGGAACGAAACGGCCUUUUCUAAUAAAGAGGGCUAAUGACGGUACCGUAAGAAUAAGCACCGGCUAACUACGUGCCAGCAGCCGCGGUAAUACGUAGGGUGCAAGCGUUAAUCGGAAUUACUGGGCGUAAAGCGUGCGCAGGCGGUUAUUUAAGACAGUUGUGAAAUCCCCGGGCUCAACCUGGGAACUGCAUCUGUGACUGCAUAGCUAGGGUACGGUAGAGGGGGAUGGAAUUCCGCGUGUAGCAGUGAAAUGCGUAGAUAUGCGGAGGAACACCGAUGGCGAAGGCAAUCCCCUGGACCUGUACUGACGCUCAUGCACGAAAGCGUGGGGAGCAAACAGGAUUAGAAACCCUGGUAGUCCCAUGAU
This 478-nucleotide ribosomal RNA is filed under the name uncultured organism. Its description in RNAcentral is "partial 16S ribosomal RNA". It matches the Rfam family "Bacterial small subunit ribosomal RNA", at positions 332 to 801 of the family's 1533-position model. The record is from RNAcentral.